AGCAAACGCUGGCGGCAGGCCUAACACAUGCAAGUCGAACGGAUCCUUCGGGAUUAGUGGCGGACGGGUGAGUAACACGUGGGAACGUGCCCUUUGGUUCGGAACAACUCAGGGAAACUUGAGCUAAUACCGGAUGUGCCCUUCGGGGGAAAGAUUUAUCGCCAUUGGAGCGGCCCGCGUCUGAUUAGCUAGUUGGUGAGGUAACGGCCCACCAAGGCGACGAUCAGUAGCUGGUCUGAGAGGAUGAUCAGCCACACUGGGACUGAGACACGGCCCAGACUCCUACGGGAGGCAGCAGUGGGGAAUCUUGCGCAAUGGGCGAAAGCCUGACGCAGCCAUGCCGCGUGAAUGAUGAAGGUCUUAGGAUUGUAAAAUUCUUUCAGCGGGGACGAUAAUGACGGUACCCGCAGAAGAAGCUCCGGCUAACUUCGUG
RNAcentral lists this ribosomal RNA (433 nucleotides) under uncultured bacterium. RNAcentral's name for it is "partial 16S ribosomal RNA". It matches the Rfam family "Bacterial small subunit ribosomal RNA", at positions 29 to 507 of the family's 1533-position model. The record is from RNAcentral.